This 371-nucleotide small RNA is filed under the name Arabidopsis thaliana (thale cress). RNAcentral describes it as "ATSL041710". Lineage: Eukaryota; Viridiplantae; Streptophyta; Magnoliopsida; Brassicales; Brassicaceae. The record is from RNAcentral.
CUUUUCGGAUGGUGAAGUGAAGUGGUGAUGUCCUCUACUCGACCUGGUGGUCGAGUGGUUUCUUGAGAUCUUGAAGCUCCUACUCGACCUCUGGGUCGAGUGGUUUGUCAUGAUCAGGUCCGCUUCUUCCAAAUAGCUCGUCAACAGCUCCAAAUCACCUGAAAUCAACGCAAAUAUGCAACAUGCAUGCAAAACUAUACUAAACAUGCGAAGUGAUGACAAAUGAUGUGAAAUGGUAUAAAACAGUGAUGAUCUGAUGCUAAAAUGAUGACAAAUGGAUGCUCAAAACAUGCAAAAUACACACUUAUCAACAUCCGAAAACCCAUGUUAUCGAAUCGAAUUCUGCAAUCGAAUUGAAGGAAGCUCAAUGU